CAUAUGCUUGUCUCAAAGAUUAAGCCAUGCAUGUCUCAGUACAAGCCACAUUAAGGUGAAACCGCGAAAGGCUCAUUAAAUCAGUUAUGGUUCCUUAGAUCGUACCCACAUUUACUUGGAUAACUGUGGUAAUUCUAGAGCUAAUACAUGCAAACAGAGUUCCGACCGGAGACGGGAGGAGUGCUUUUAUUAGAUCAAAACCAAUCGGCGGCGGGUUCGCCCGUUCGCCGCUCAAUUUGGUGACUCUGAAUAACUUUCGGCUGAUCGCACGGUCUCGCACCGGCGACGCAUCUUUCAAAUGUCUGCCUUAUCAACUGUCGAUGGUAGGUUCUGCGCCUACCAUGGUCGUAACGGGUAACGGGGAAUCAGGGUUCGAUUCCGGAGAGGGAGCCUGAGAAACGGCUACCACAUCCAAGGAAGGCAGCAGGCGCGCAAAUUACCCACUCCCGGCACGGGGAGGUAGUGACGAAAAAUAACGAUACGGGACUCAUCCGAGGCCCCGUAAUCGGAAUGAGUACACUUUAAAUCCUUUAACGAGGAUCAAUUGGAGGGCAAGUCUGGUGCCAGCAGCCGCGGUAAUUCCAGCUCCAAU
This 592-nucleotide ribosomal RNA is filed under the name Rhantus novaecaledoniae. RNAcentral describes it as "SSU rRNA". It matches the Rfam family "Eukaryotic small subunit ribosomal RNA", at positions 25 to 595 of the family's 1831-position model. The record is from RNAcentral. Lineage: Eukaryota; Metazoa; Arthropoda; Insecta; Coleoptera; Dytiscidae.